CAAUUACUCCUUCCAUCCCAAAAUUCUUGUCUUAGAUUUGUCUAGAUAUGGAUGUAUCUAAUACUAAAACGUGACUUGAUACAUCUGUAUUUAGACAAAUCUAAGACAAGAAUUUUGGGACGGAGGGAGUACAUU
Molecule: non-coding RNA, 135 nt
Organism: Triticum urartu
Lineage: Eukaryota; Viridiplantae; Streptophyta; Magnoliopsida; Poales; Poaceae
Source: Rfam